UCGCCUCUGAAGCUCAAAAACA
RNAcentral lists this microRNA (22 nucleotides) under Helianthus annuus (common sunflower). Lineage: Eukaryota; Viridiplantae; Streptophyta; Magnoliopsida; Asterales; Asteraceae. The record is from RNAcentral.